AUUGAACGCUGGCGGCAUGCUUUACACAUGCAAGUCGAACGGUAACAGGCCUUCGGGUGCUGACGAGUGGCGAACGGGUGAGUAAUGCAUCGGAACGUACCCAGAGGUGGGGGAUAACGCAGCGAAAGCUGUGCUAAUACCGCAUGUGAUCUGAGGAUGAAAGCGGGGGACCGAGCAGCAAUGUUUGGCCUCGCGCCUUUGGAGCGGCCGAUGUCGGAUUAGCUAGUUGGUGGGGUAAAGGCCUACCAAGGCGACGAUCCGUAGCUGGUCUGAGAGGACGACCAGCCACACUGGGACUGAGACACGGCCCAGACUCCUACGGGAGGCAGCAGUGGGGAAUUUUGGACAAUGGGCGCAGGCCUGAUCCAGCAAUGCCGCGUGCGGGAAGAAGGCCUUCGGGUUGUAAACCGCUUUUGGCAGGAACGAAACGGUGUCCGCUAAUACCGGGCGCUAAUGACGGUACCUGCAGAAUAAGCACCGGCUAACUACGUG
Molecule: ribosomal RNA, 492 nt
Filed under: uncultured bacterium
Lineage: Bacteria
Description: partial 16S ribosomal RNA
Rfam family: Bacterial small subunit ribosomal RNA
Source: RNAcentral